Pelobates cultripes (western spadefoot toad) is the source of this 666-nucleotide non-coding RNA. The record is from the annotation of a GenBank genome assembly. NCBI's taxonomy places the organism in Eukaryota, Metazoa, Chordata, Amphibia, Anura, Pelobatidae.
UGAAUCCAGAGAGAUUUUUCCAAGUUUUCACACUUUCAUAAAUCUCACUAGAAGCUUGUGUUACUUCCCAUCUUUACAACACACAUUCUCCCUGCAUGUUGCUAUACUGUGGAGAGAAGAAGGACAUUUUCUGCUCUUCCUUGUCAGUCAAACCAUAGGCACCGAGUCUGUGCCAAAGUCCUUUGCUUUUGCCCACUAUUGUGAAAGUUUUGGCUACGUUGCAGUAACCAGUAGGAACCCUUUCCCACUGACAUUGUAAUUCUGUUGUAAACGGGCAAAUGUGUGAACUUGGUGUGACUUGGGUUUGGCAGGUAAUUGCUCGGCCUCUAUAUGAAAUGAGGGCAGCCCACAUCACUGCACGGACCAUACCAUUUCCACUUAUCUGAGCCACAGGGAAAACAACGAUGCCCCAAAGUAUAGGGAAUGCAAAUCACCCCAUAAAAUGCAUAUAUAAAUAUGUGAAUAAAUUCCACCAGACUGAAUGUUUAAUCUAAUAAUGUUCAGCAUCAACAUAGACAAGACGUUGAAGAGCAAUCUAAAAUCAUUACAAAUUAAAAAACAUUAAAAAAACACUCACAGACAUAAAUGCACAUUGAACAAUACAAUGUGCAAAAUCACAUUAGCUCUUACCAGGGCCAGUAACUCUCCAAUCCAUUGCUUCAGUAG